This 688-nucleotide ribosomal RNA is filed under the name Lodderomyces parapsilosis. RNAcentral describes it as "Candida parapsilosis partial large subunit ribosomal RNA". It matches the Rfam family "Eukaryotic large subunit ribosomal RNA", at positions 202 to 910 of the family's 3401-position model. The record is from RNAcentral. Lineage: Eukaryota; Fungi; Ascomycota; Pichiomycetes; Serinales; Debaryomycetaceae.
CACAGAGGGUGAGAAUCCCGUGCGAUGAGAUGUCCCAGACCUAUGUAAAGUUCCUUCGAAGAGUCGAGUUGUUUGGGAAUGCAGCUCUAAGUGGGUGGUAAAUUCCAUCUAAAGCUAAAUAUUGGCGAGAGACCGAUAGCGAACAAGUACAGUGAUGGAAAGAUGAAAAGAACUUUGAAAAGAGAGUGAAAAAGUACGUGAAAUUGUUGAAAGGGAAGGGCUAGAGAUCAGACUUGGUAUUUUGUAUGUUACUCUCUCGGGGGUGGCCUCUACAGUUUACCGGGCCAGCAUCAGUUUGAGCGGUAGGAUAAGUGCAAAGAAAUGUGGCACUGCUUCGGUAGUGUGUUAUAGUCUUUGUCGAUACUGCCAGCUUAGACUGAGGACUGCGGCUUCGGCCUAGGAUGUUGGCAUAAUGAUCUUAAGUCGCCCGUCUUGAAACACGGACCAAGGAGUCUAACGUCUAUGCGAGUGUUUGGGUGUAAAACCCGUACGCGUAAUGAAAGUGAACGUAGGUAGGACCUCCUUUAGGAGUGCACUAUCGACCGAUCCUGAUGUCUUCGGAUGGAUUUGAGUAAGAGCAUAGCUGUUGGGACCCGAAAGAUGGUGAACUAUGCCUGAAUAGGGUGAAGCCACAUUAAACUCUGGUGGAGGCUCGUAGCGGUUCUGACGUGCAAAUCGAUCGUCGAAU